CCUACGGGGCGCAGCAGUAGGGAAUCUUUCACAAUGGGCGAAAGCCUGAUGGAGCAACGCCGCGUGCAGGAUGAAGGCCUUCGGGUUGUAAACUGCUUUUAUAAGCGAGAAAUAUGAUGGUAACUUAUGAAUAAGGAUCGGCUAACUACGUGCCAGCAGCCGCGGUCAUACGUAGGAUCCGAGCAUUAUCCGGAGUGACUGGGUGUAAAGAGUUGCGUAGGUGGCAUAAUAAGUAGCUAGUGAAAUCUGGUGGCUCAACCAUUCAGACUAUUAGCUAAACUGUUAAGCUCGAGACCGUUAGGGGUAACUGGAAUGUCUGGUGUAGGAGUGAAAUCCGUAGAUAUUAGAAGGAACACCAAUAGCGUAGGCAGGUUGCUGGGACGGUUCUGACACUAAGGCACGAAAGCGUAGGGAGCAAACGGGAUUAGAUACCCGUGUAGUC
This 442-nucleotide ribosomal RNA is filed under the name uncultured bacterium. Its description in RNAcentral is "partial 16S ribosomal RNA". It matches the Rfam family "Bacterial small subunit ribosomal RNA", at positions 338 to 795 of the family's 1533-position model. The record is from RNAcentral.